AUAUUAGGCUAUAAUUUAUAUUAAGUAUAAUCUAAUUUUAUUAAAUUUUUAGGAUUGUAAUCUUUGAUGGUAUAAAUCCUAGCUUGAUUCCUUGAAUUAGGUUAAUUAAGAUCAAAAUGAUAUAGAUUAGAAAAUUAGAAUAAUAAUUUGGAUAGUUUUAAUAAUUUAGAGGUCAUUGUCAUUGCUAUAAGGAUUGAUUGAAAGCCUAUGAAUUCAAUUACAAUCAUUUCAUAUGAUUGUAAGUGAAUUAGAAUUAGAACUUUCUAAAAGAUUUAGUGAAGUUUAGCAAUGAUAAUUUUGAAGCAUUUUCUUCAACUUCAAUAAAUCGAAGCAAAAAAGUAGUUUUUUCAAUUAAUGGAGGCUUUCAAAUGCAAUGGUGGUGUUAGAUUCAUCCCAUGGAGUGAAGAAAACAAGAUCAGCAACCUUCUCCUCCAACAUACAAGUAGAGUAAUGAAAUUUUCAUUUUUGAAGGAUUUUACAAUAAUUGCUAAAAACUUUAGAGGUAAAAACUUUCAUAAAAAUUACAAAUGAACAUAGAUGGAGGCAUGUGAAUAGUCAAUCUUAGCAUAAAAGGUAUUUUGAAUACAAUGGUGAAGUUAAAUUUACCAAAAAUUUCUUUUUUGAUCACUUACAAUAGCCAUCAGCCUUGAUAACGAAAUUAGCUUUUGGGUGAAUGAAGGCCGUAGAUCUAGAUUAGGGAUCUUAAAAAUCAAGGGUAGAGAUGCAGCUACCCUUUCACAAGCCUUAACUCAAUUAUGUAAGAGAGGCUUGGUUUUCUAAGCCCUCUCUCUCUCCUCUUUUGGUGAAGGACAAAGCCAUGCCAAAAUUUGGUAAAAAAUCCUAAUCUUAAUUUUAUUUAGAUUUUUAAAUCUCAAUGUGAACUUUGUGGAUGGAUGUGCAUGGAUUUUUAAUUUUGAAUGAUAGUCAUUGGAUUUUAAAACAUGCUUCAUUGUGGUAGAUAGCUCCCUUGGCC
This 973-nucleotide long non-coding RNA is filed under the name Physcomitrium patens. RNAcentral's name for it is "long non-coding RNA (PPAT_LNC004890)". The record is from RNAcentral. Lineage: Eukaryota; Viridiplantae; Streptophyta; Bryopsida; Funariales; Funariaceae.